Molecule: ribosomal RNA, 530 nt
Filed under: uncultured Nitrososphaerota archaeon
Lineage: Archaea; Thermoproteati; Nitrososphaerota
Description: bacterial SSU rRNA
Rfam family: Archaeal small subunit ribosomal RNA
Source: RNAcentral
UCUGGUGUCAGCCGCCGCGGUAAAACCAGCACCUCAAGUGGUCAGGAUGAUUAUUGGGCCUAAAGCAUCCGUAGCCGGCUCUGUUAGUUUUCGGUUAAAUCUGUACGCUUAACGUACAGGCUGCCGGGAAUACUGCAGAGCUAGGGAGUGGGAGAGGUAGACGGUACUCGGUAGGAAGGGGUAAAAUCCUUUGAUCUAUUGAUGACCACCUGUGGCGAAGGCGGUCUACCAGAACACGUCCGACGGUGAGGGAUGAAAGCUGGGGGAGCAAACCGGAUUAGAUACCCGGGUAGUCCCAGCUGUAGACUAUGCAAACUCAGUGAUGCAUUGGCUUGUGGCCAAUGCAGUGCUGCAGGGAAGCCGUUAAGUUUGCCGCCUGGGAAGUACGUACGCAAGUAUGAAACUUAAAGGAAUUGGCGGGGGAGCACCACAAGGGGUGAAGCCUGCGGUUCAAUUGGAGUCAACGCCAGAAAUCUUACCCGGAGAGACAGCAGAAUGAAGGUCAAGCUGAAGACUUUACCAGACAAGCU